This 487-nucleotide unclassified non-coding RNA is filed under the name Hevea brasiliensis (rubber tree). Lineage: Eukaryota; Viridiplantae; Streptophyta; Magnoliopsida; Malpighiales; Euphorbiaceae. The record is from RNAcentral.
ACUGGGAUUUGCAAAAGACCGUACUAUUAGCAGAUUGACAGAGAUGAACAGCAAAGAAUAUUUAGAGCACCAUGCUGCCAUGUUAGUUGAGAAACAGCUCUUACAGGAAGAUGUUAUUGGAAACGCUGUGCUAGUGUGAGACAGAAUGGAAGGUAUCCAGUAUCAUUAUCUUAACCCAAUAAACUGCGGUCACUGGUUAUGCCAUUUUAUGUUCGCUAACCUGAUCACAGUUUUCCUGCCAAAUUCAGUAUAGGUUUCAUUAAAAUCUUAAGUCAGCUAGUGAAUAAAAUGUAAUUCAUCAUCUUUAAAAUAUAAAGCCAGCUUGAAUGCAAUCAAAAUCAUACUCUGUCAGAUAGGUCUUUCUUUUUCUCAGUCAUGCUGUUCAAUUUAAAUGUUAGCAAUUAUUACAGACCAGAACUUUACCCCAAUGUAACAAUUAUGUAACCAGAUUACUGGAGUUAAUGACAGGGAAAUUUUUGCUUAAAAU